This 251-nucleotide ribosomal RNA is filed under the name uncultured Oscillospiraceae bacterium. RNAcentral's name for it is "partial 16S ribosomal RNA". It matches the Rfam family "Bacterial small subunit ribosomal RNA", at positions 88 to 339 of the family's 1533-position model. The record is from RNAcentral. Lineage: Bacteria; Bacillati; Bacillota; Clostridia; Eubacteriales; Oscillospiraceae.
CUACCUAGUGGCGGACGGGUGAGUAACGCGUGAGCAACCUGCCCUUCGGAGGGGGACAACAGCUGGAAACGGCUGCUAAUACCGCAUAACAUAUACUUGAGGCAUCUUGAGUAUAUCAAAGAUUUAUCGCCGAAGGAUGGGCUCGCGUCUGAUUAGCUAGUUGGUGGGGUAACGGCCCACCAAGGCGACGAUCAGUAGCCGGACUGAGAGGUUGAACGGCCACAUUGGGACUGAGAUACGGCCCAGACUCC